AUUGGCUUGAGUUCGUUCAGACUAAGAUUCACACCGAUAUAUUUCAGGUGAAUGUUUAGUCCUGGGCUCUCUGUGCAUUUUGUCUUUCCUGGAUCCCCAUCUCUGCUUACUGGAGCAGCAGCUCUUGGUGCCUGAAUGAUCCUACAAGAUCUCCAAGCAGGGAUGAGGGAAUGGAGACCUGUGAAGCUGAUGUGGCUCAGAUGUUCUCAUGCAAGAUGUCCUCAUGAGGUGGUGUUGGAGGUGGUGGUAAGGAUCCCAGCAGCAGCCAGUAACAGGUGGACAGAGAGUGAUUUGGCUUGAUGGCACAAACAUCCACCUCUCUCUGAACACCUAUCUCAUUUGCUUAAAUUAAAUCACUGCUUCAGAGAAGAUCUUCAAUUUUAGGAAACAGCUUCUGUUGUUCUGUGACUCCAGCUUGUAUCCUCACGUGCAACAAGAGACCAGUGCUCAAAAUAAGGACCCGGUUUAACAAUUAAUGUAGGGAAGAGUAAGUAACGCCUCCAUCCUCUAGGUUCGAGGUUGGAACCUCUUGGCUUAUUGCUAAGAGUUAGAAAGGCUGUUUUGGGUCAAGGUAGCUUUGUCUGACUCUGCACUCUGGUCCUGUCAAUGGCCAGGAGGAGAUGCUGAAGCAAACAUAUAACUAGUGUAUUUUCUGGACCUGUAACCCCUUGCCAGAGGCUAGGAUGUUCCUUCUGGAAAGCAGUACUAUCAGAGUUUGAUUACUUCUUGGAAAAUCUGGCUCUCCUACUCGGAAUAACCUGAAAUAAACCCCAUGAUGAGUCUCUUAAAGGAUUCUGAAGGAACAACAUAGACAUAAAACAGCUUAGCUCUGAUUAUGCCCUGAAAACUAUGCCAGUUCAGAGAUUGAGAGGAUCAGCCUUGUGAUAUUUGGAAGCCUGUGGUGGGGACAAUGGCCUAAAGAGAGUACAUAACUGGGGGCCACACAGGUGCCUGAAUCCCUUGGGAACAAGCUUGAGAUUUUCCUUCUCUCCAUAUCUUCCAUUAGGGAACUUCUGCUAUGCCAGCUCUGUUCAUAAGGGGAUUUGUGCCUCAGGCACUGCACACCUCUCUGCUCAGAGCCUGAGGCAUGUUGGCAUCUGCAAUUCAAGAGCUUUCAGAAUGAGAAGGCAGGCAGUUUGGGGCGGGAUAAGGUACUUCUCUGUACACUAAGUAUAGAAGUAUUCCCAUAGGCCAGGAAACUCCCACAAGGUGGCUCAGUUACACUCAACAUGAUGGCUGUGCAUGCAGGUCUCUUUUUGUGUCUGAAAUGGAGUCCAAUUCGAUUCUACUUUAAAAAUUAUAUUCCCCACAUAAAAACUUCUGGGGUUUUUUUUUGCAUUUAGCCACAGCCACGUACACAAUCAUGUAUAAAUGCUGUGCAUAUGUUCACACAUACAACUACUCUGGUUCUGUUUGUGGCUAUUUCCUAUCUGACGUGAUCUGACUAUAGCAAAAAUUAAAAUAAAGAUCAGAUUAGUUACCGUGGUAACAGCUACCCCUGCCUCAUAUGACGCACGGAUCCUGUGAAGCGAAGGAGCACGUAUCAAUUUACACUCUUAAUUUUUGGGACGUGCAGGGCUCAGCUCUUCCCAGGAGGUCCUCUGAUGACACCAAGCACUAUCCGUGCUUUCAUUCAGCAGCUCAUCCUCUUUGACUUUCUGUAAGUCACAAGAGCUCUGGAGCUGCUGCCACCAUCUUUUGGUAGAAACAAUCUUCAUUUCAGUUUCUUUCUUCAAACAAACCGAAGAGAAAACACAGUGAGAAAAGUCAGGUAUGGGGGGUACUGAGGCAGUGAGGGAUGUUCUUGGUCUUUUAGGACAUAGGCAGCACUGGGGCUGUCUUGGUUCAUUUGUUUCCAUGACUGUAUGUCAAGGUUUUAAAUGUUUCUGCCUUGUGUUGGAGAAAAACAAACAGUCUCGAGUAGGAGUAGUCAAAUUAAUGAUGUCUUGUGGUGUGAGAUUUCACUCGUUACAUCUCCCAGCUAUCAGAUCUCUUAAGGUGUAGGAUGAGACAAAUUAUCAGAUCUGUAGGAGAAGAGAACAUGAAGAGAUAAUACAGUUGACUGCAGUUAAUGAUUACUACCAUGUGUCUAUGUACAUUACAGGGAUAAUAUGUCUUUUUGACUCUUGCCCUCUGGACACACAUCCACAGCAUCUUUCAUUCUGCAUCCUUGGUCCCUACUCAGGACUUAUUCCAGAGCUAUCACGGUCUCAAAAUCACACCUUUAAAUGCAUUGUCUCAUAUAACAUCAUUUCCUAUCCAGGAAGCUUCAACCGACACAGAGUUUCUCACCAUUGUGGUCAGGAUUUAUUGGAUCUAAUUAGACUGUUUCUAAAGCUGGAGUAAAGAGCCACAGGCUCUCAUGAAACACCAAAUCAUACAUUCUCCUGAGUUUCCCAUGGAAAACCUUUCAGGAAGAGGUUUUGUUGUG
Molecule: long non-coding RNA, 2431 nt
Organism: Tympanuchus pallidicinctus (lesser prairie-chicken)
Lineage: Eukaryota; Metazoa; Chordata; Aves; Galliformes; Phasianidae
Exons: 4
Source: RefSeq, a predicted model, not a curated record